RNAcentral lists this ribosomal RNA (272 nucleotides) under uncultured bacterium. RNAcentral's name for it is "partial 16S ribosomal RNA". It matches the Rfam family "Bacterial small subunit ribosomal RNA", at positions 29 to 322 of the family's 1533-position model. The record is from RNAcentral.
AACGAACGCUGGCGGCAGGCUUAACACAUGCAAGUCGAACGCAUCCUUCGGGGUGAGUGGCAGACGGGUGAGUAACGCGUGGGAACGAUGCCCUUCAGUUCGGAAUAACCCACGGGAAACGUUAGGGCGUAAUACCGGAUACGUGCGGGAGGCAGAAAGAUUUAUCGCUGAAGGAGUGGCCCGCGUCUGAUUAGCUAGUUGGUGAGGUAAAGGCUCACCAAGGCGACGAUCAGUAGCUGGUCUGAGAGGAUGAUCAGCCACACUGGGACUGA